CCAUAUACCAGAUUUCCAAAGCACAAAACCAGUAAUACUAGACAAAAAACAAAGCAAAGGCAAGGUAAAUCAUGCUUUUAAACCGAAGAAGUUAUUUAGUUACCAUGUUAAUGCAAAUUUGUGGGGAUAAAAUCCAAUCAUAAAAAGAGAAGUUUACUUUCCUUACUUUAUGUUUCAUCCAUGCCUAAGAUUGUACCAGUGCCAAGGUAAAGAU
RNAcentral lists this long non-coding RNA (214 nucleotides) under Phaseolus vulgaris (common bean). Its description in RNAcentral is "long non-coding RNA (PVUL_LNC003875)". Lineage: Eukaryota; Viridiplantae; Streptophyta; Magnoliopsida; Fabales; Fabaceae. The record is from RNAcentral.